RNAcentral lists this ribosomal RNA (511 nucleotides) under Paracirrhites forsteri (blackside hawkfish). RNAcentral's name for it is "partial large subunit ribosomal RNA". It matches the Rfam family "Bacterial large subunit ribosomal RNA", at positions 1918 to 2580 of the family's 2925-position model. Lineage: Eukaryota; Metazoa; Chordata; Actinopteri; Centrarchiformes; Cirrhitidae. The record is from RNAcentral.
AUAUGUUUAACGGCCGCGGUAUCCUGACCGUGCGAAGGUAGCGCAAUCACUUGUCUUUUAAAUGGAGACCUGUAUGAAUGGCAUAACGAGGGCUUAACUGUCUCCUUUUUCAAGUCAAUGAAAUUGAUCUCCCCGUGCAGAAGCGGGGAUAAAAAUAUAAGACGAGAAGACCCUAUGGAGCUUUAGACACCAACGCAGAUCACGCUACUCACCCCGAACAAAGGAUAAAGCCAAACUGACCCCUGCCCUAAUGUCUUUGGUUGGGGCGACCAUGGGGAAACAGAAAACCCCCACGUGGAAUGGGAUAACCCUCCUUAAAUCAAGAGCUACCGCUCUAAAUCAACAGAAAUUCUGACCAGACUAGAUCCGGCCACAGCCGAUCAACGGACCGAGUUACCCUAGGGAUAACAGCGCAAUCCUCUUUCAGAGCCCAUAUCGACAAGGGGGUUUACGACCUCGAUGUUGGAUCAGGACAUCCUAAUGGUGCAGCCGCUAUUAAGGGUUCGUUUGU